RNAcentral lists this ribosomal RNA (484 nucleotides) under uncultured bacterium. RNAcentral describes it as "bacterial SSU rRNA". It matches the Rfam family "Bacterial small subunit ribosomal RNA", at positions 28 to 492 of the family's 1533-position model. The record is from RNAcentral.
GACGAACGCUGGCGGCAUGCCUAAUACAUGCAAGUCGAGCGAACAGAUGAAGUGCUUGCACUUCUGACGUUAGCGGCGAACGGGUGAGUAACACGUAAGGAAUCUACCUAUAAGCGGGGGAUAACAUUCGGAAACGGGUGCUAAUACCGCAUAAUAUCUUCUUCCGCAUGGAAGAAGAUUGAAAGACGGCUCUGCUGUCACUUAUAGAUGACCUUGCGGUGCAUUAGUUAGUUGGUGGGGUAACGGCCUACCAAGACGAUGAUGCAUAGCCGACCUGAGAGGGUGAUCGGCCACAUUGGGACUGAGACACGGCCCAAACUCCUACGGGAGGCAGCAGUAGGGAAUCUUCCGCAAUGGGCGAAAGCCUGACGGAGCAAUGCCGCGUGAGUGAAGAAGGCCUUUCGGGUCGUAAAAACUCUGUUAUAAGAGAAGAACAAAUUGUAGAGUAACUGCUACAGUCUUGACGGUAUCUUACCAGAAAGCC